CCCAAUCUGAUGUCGAUGCCCUGAUAGAGGCAGACAAGAAAGCUGGAGGUGACUAUGGAAGAACUCAGUCUGUUGAUGUUGCUUACGGCGAGAGACACCAUCCUCGAUUGCCAAGAGAUAUGCGGGGUUCCUACAUUGCAAAAGAGGUUCUGAAUGUUUUAACAAGCCGAUUUGAGAGAAUCGAGGAG
Long non-coding RNA from Spinacia oleracea (spinach), 188 nucleotides. RefSeq lists it as uncharacterized. The transcript is spliced from 3 exons. NCBI's taxonomy places the organism in Eukaryota, Viridiplantae, Streptophyta, Magnoliopsida, Caryophyllales, Amaranthaceae. The record is from RefSeq and is a predicted model, not a curated record.